This 700-nucleotide ribosomal RNA is filed under the name uncultured bacterium. Its description in RNAcentral is "bacterial SSU rRNA". It matches the Rfam family "Bacterial small subunit ribosomal RNA", at positions 56 to 789 of the family's 1533-position model. The record is from RNAcentral.
UGCAAGUCGUACGAGAGUUUUUAACUCUAGUGGCGGACGGGUGAGUAACACGUGAGAAUUUACCUUUAGGAGGGGGAUAACAAUUGGAAACGAAUGCUAAUACCCCAUAUGCUUUCGAGUGAAAUGGAUUUAUAAUUAUCUGCCUAAAGAAAAGCUCGCGGCUGAUUAGCUUGUUGGUAAGGUAAGAGCUUACCAAGGCGACGAUCAGUAUCUGGUUUGAGAGGACGAUCAGACACACUGGAACUGAGACACGGUCCAGACUCCUACGGGAGGCAGCAGUGGGGAAUUUUCCGCAAUGGGCGAAAGCCUGACGGAGCAAUACCGCGUGAGGGAAGACUGCCUAUGGGUUGUAAACCUCUUUUUUCAGGGAGGAAUAAAAUGACGUGUACCUGAAGAAUAAGCAUCGGCUAACUCCGUGCCAGCAGCCGCGGUAAGACGGAGGAUGCAAGUGUUAUCCGGAAUCACUGGGCGUAAAGCGUCUGUAGGUGGUUUAAUAAGUCAACUGUUAAAUCUUGAGGCUCAACUUCAAAACCGCAGUCGAAACUAUUAGACUAGAGUAUAGUAGAGGUAAAGGGAAUUUCCAGUGGAGCGGUGAAAUGCGUAGAUAUUGGAAAGAACACCGAUGGCGAAAGCACUUUACUGGGCUAUUACUAACACUCAGAGACGAAAGCUAGGGUAGCAAAUGGGAUUAGAUACCCCA